GUUUGUACUUGUUCAGGUGUCGUGAGUCUCAUCGAGUGAUCAGUUACACUUCUGAACACUGAGCCGCAAGAAAAAAAGCAUGAGGACUCACUGGAUGUGCUGGACGUGCUUCCAGUCUUCCAGCCGCCUCUCUGGAUAAGAUGAGCCGCUGGAGGAGGCGGCACCGCCGCCGUUCUGGGUGCUGGCUCGUACACAGAACACUCCAUGGUCACAUUUGUGCCCCAGUAUAAGUUCCUCUGCAUCGGAGCACUUAUCUCAAAAUCUAAGAGGGGAGAGACCACAUCAAAUAUAAGCAUUUUUUUAAAAAAACAGGAUGUGAUUUUCCGCUGUGUGCUGACAAUAUUCAUCUGUCAAAUAUGCUUAUAGUCGGUUCAUUUUGGAGAUGUAUAUUAAAGCUGCA
Cottoperca gobio is the source of this 400-nucleotide long non-coding RNA. RefSeq lists it as uncharacterized. The record is from RefSeq and is a predicted model, not a curated record. The transcript is spliced from 2 exons. NCBI's taxonomy places the organism in Eukaryota, Metazoa, Chordata, Actinopteri, Perciformes, Bovichtidae.